This is a non-coding RNA of Camelina sativa (false flax), 168 nucleotides long. Lineage: Eukaryota; Viridiplantae; Streptophyta; Magnoliopsida; Brassicales; Brassicaceae. The record is from RefSeq and is a predicted model, not a curated record.
GAGAACCCUAAGAACAAGAUCACUGCCAUUCCUGCUAAUGAGGAAGAGAUUUGGGGAGCCACCUUCAAGGUGGAAGGAGCAACAGUUCUUGCAGAUUGAGAGUGAAAGAGAGUAAAAAAGAAACAAGCUCAAUGUCUCGUAAAUCUCGAACUGUAACAGCAAAAAAAC